AGGGAUCAUUACAAGUGACCCCGGUCUAACCACCGGGAUGUUCAUAACCCUUUGUUGUCCGACUCUGUUGCCUCCGGGGCGACCCUGCCUUCGGGCGGGGGCUCCGGGUGGACACUUCAAACUCUUGCGUAACUUUGCAGUCUGAGUAAACUUAAUUAAUAAAUUAAAACUUUUAACAACGGAUCUCUUGGUUCUGGCAUCGAUGAAGAACGCAGCGAAAUGCGAUAAGUAAUGUGAAUUGCAGAAUUCAGUGAAUCAUCGAAUCUUUGAACGCACAUUGCGCCCCCUGGUAUUCCGGGGGGCAUGCCUGUUCGAGCGUCAUUUCACCACUCAAGCCUCGCUUGGUAUUGGGCAACGCGGUCCGCCGCGUGCCUCAAAUCGACCGGCUGGGUCUUCUGUCCCCUAAGCGUUGUGGAAACUAUUCGCUAAAGGGUGUUCGGGAGGCUACGCCGUAAAACAACCCCAUUUCUAAGGUUGACCUCGGAUCAGGUAGGGAUACCCGCUGAACUUAAGCAUAUCAAUAAGCGGAGGAAAAGAAACCAACAGGGAUUGCUCUAGUAACGGCGAGUGAAGCAGCAAUAGUUCAAAUUUGAAAUCUGGCGUCUUCGGCGUCCGAGUUGUAAUUUGUAGAGGAUGCUUCUGAGUAACCACCGACCUAAGUUCCUUGGAACAGGACGUCAUAGAGGGUGAGAAUCCCGUAUGCGGUCGGAAAGGUGCUCUACACGUAGCUCCUUCGACGAGUCGAGUUGUUUGGGAAUGCAGCUCUAAAUGGGAGGUAAAUUUCUUCUAAAGCUAAAUAUUGGCCAGAGACCGAUAGCGCACAAGUAGAGUGAUCGAAAGAUGAAAAGCACUUUGGAAAGAGAGUUAAAAAGCACGUGAAAUUGUUAAAAGGGAAGGGAUUGCAACCAGACUUGCUCGCGGUGUUCCGCCGGUCUUCUGACCGGUCUACUCGCCGCGUUGCAGGCCAGCAUCGUCUGGUGCCGCUGGAUAAGACUUGAGGAAUGUAGCUCCCUCGGGAGUGUUAUAGCCUCUUGUGAUGCAGCGAGCGCCGGGCGAGGUCCGCGCUUCGGCUAGGAUGCUGGCGUAAUGGUCGUAAUCCGC
This 1101-nucleotide ribosomal RNA is filed under the name uncultured Cladosporium. RNAcentral's name for it is "eukaryotic LSU rRNA". The stretch from base 476 to 1101 matches the Rfam family "Eukaryotic large subunit ribosomal RNA", at positions 1 to 648 of the family's 3401-position model. The record is from RNAcentral. Lineage: Eukaryota; Fungi; Ascomycota; Dothideomycetes; Cladosporiales; Cladosporiaceae.